CUGCCUCACAAGGGGUCUGUUGUGGGGAGAGGAAGGGAAAGGAGUUUUUAAGCCGCUUGGAGACUCCUUUUGGUUGAGAAAAUCCAAACUCUUCUUCCUCUUCUCCUGGGAGUUGGCUCCCCAACCCUGACUUCCUUCUUCCAACAGCAAUGAAGCCUCGUCGGCUCUUCAUAGUCGUGAAAAGCUUUUCAGGGGAAGCCAAGUCAGGAGGGGAGGUGAAGGUCUCCAAAGGCAGCCUCCUGCGUCAAGAAGAGUCUCUUCGAGCCUCCUCGGAAGGGUCUUUCUGGGCCAAGGUCUUGGACACCGAAAAAGUGAUCCGAGUCUCUUCUUCGGCCGUCAAGGAACUGACCGGCGCCCAUGCUGGGCUCUUAGAAGCUGUGACCAACGGAGAUGAGCGCCUGGGACUUUUCAAUCAGGAGCGGCUGAUGCGGAGGCUCAGCUCCCUUCAGAAGGGGGACCCGGUCCGAGUCCAGAUUACGUCCACUUCUGGGCAGAAAGUUCCAGGCAUAGUCCGAUACCGGGGACCCAUAGAAAAGAACAAGCGCGAUGCGGGUAUCAUCUUUGGAGUAGAGCUGGUGGGUUCAGCCGCUGGGAAAGGUUUCACCGACGGCUCCUUCAAAGGUCAGAAAUUCUUCUCUUGUCAAGAAAACUGCGGAGUCUUUGUGCCCGUCAACCGCAUUGAGCCGGACGACUCAGCAAGGGGCAGCCCUCCAGCACCUCCAAGAAGCAAUGUCAGGGAAUGCACGAGGAUCCAGCUGACAUCCGGUGAUCCCUUGUCAUCCCCUACACUGGAGAUCGGGGACCGUGUUUUCUUCCAGAUGGAAGACAGCACCCCUACUGGUACGGUGGUGUACUGCAACUACCUGCCCAAGAAAAUGGAGACGGGGGUGUUUGUGGGGAUACACCUGGACCAGCCGGUUGGCUCCUGGGAUGGCUAUUUCAAAGAGAGCAAACUUUGUCGUAUCCCAGCACCAGAGUACGGGAUUCUCUUGCCGAUUUCUAAAGUACACAAAGAACAGCCUGACAGAAGCCCUGAGGUUUUGGGCAGCCGUUCCUCCCCCCUCAGCUCCGCCUUUUUUGAUUGCUCAUCCCCCCCAUCCAUCCGGUACCCCCCGAGGAUGGAGGGGUGUUCCCCCAAGGAACCGCCAUCGCUGCUCCGUUCCCUCAGCUCAGAGAAGCAAAAAGGCGGGAACGGCGAGAGGGCCAAAGAGGAGGAGGCGAGUGAAGAUGAGGAGGAGGAAGAGGAUGAACAGUUUGACCACCUUCUCCUGGAGAUCAACUCCAUGGUGGAAGUGAACGAUCCACCCAUCUACGGGGUGAUCCGCUGGAUUGGAGCUCUGCCUGACAUGGAUGAAACGAUUGCUGGUCUGGAGUUGGAGGAGCCGCUGUCUCCGAGCUGCACAGACGGACAGUACAGAGGGGUCCGCUAUUUUCACUGCCCACCCAACAAGGCCCUCUUUGUCAAGUUGCGUCGCUGUCGGCCCGACUCCCGUUUUGGCCUGGAGCAGAAUCUGGAGAAUCCUGUUUUACGGUGCAAUUCCCUGGAUUUCCAUGUGUACGCUAGUGCGAAAGUAGAAGAGGACACUCCACCGCCACCGUUGGGCGAUGCCAGCAUGAAGCAUCUCUUGGGAUGGAAGAAAGGAAUCCAGGGGCAUUGCAACUCCUGUUAUCUGGAUGCCACGCUUUUCUGUAUGUUUACGUUCUCCUCGGUGCUGGACUCAAUGAUGCUCCGUCCGGCAGACAAGAACGACGGAGAGUCUUAUACCGAGACGCGGGACCUGUUGAGGACGGAGAUAGUCAACCCUUUGCGCAGGAAUGGCUACGUCUGUGCUACCAAAGUCAUGGCGCUGCGGAAAGUUCUGGAAACUGCCGGACAUUCUUCAGGCUUCACAAGUGAAGAGAAAGACCCAGAAGAAUUUCUCACCUUGUUGUUCCGAGUCCUGAAAAUGGAUCCCCUCUUCCAGAUUCGCUCGGCUGGUAAGGACCCCCACGGAUGCAUUUUCUACCAGAUCUUCACCGAGGGGCACCCAACCCAGGCGGUGCCCACUGUUCAGCAACUCCUGGAAGGGUCGCUUGUCACUGCAGACCUCAAGUUCACAGAGGCCCCUUCCUGUCUCAUCCUGCAAAUGCCGAGGAACGGGAAGAACUUCAAGGCCUUCUGCACCAUCCAGCCCAGCCUAGAACUUGACCUCACCGACCUUCUGGAAGACACCCCUCGGGAGUGCUGUAUCUGUCAAGGGCUGGCAGCGACAGAGUGUCUGGAUUGCUACGGGGAUCACAGCUUUGGUUUUGGACGCAUCAAGCAGUUCUGCAAGACCUGCAGCCAGCAGGUUCACAAGCACCGUGCCCGGCGCUGCCACAAGCCCCGCCCGUUGCAUCUGCCCGAAGAGCUUUCCCGUUUGGGCCAUUUGCCCAGCGUCAUCCCCCGACAGACCAUGCAACUCUUUGCCAUCCUCUGCAUCGAGACCAGCCACUACGUAGCCUUUACCCGCCACGGCUCUGGUGUCCACCAGUGGCUCUUCUUUGACAGCAUGGCCGACCGGGAGGGUGGUCUCAAUGGCUUCAACAUCCCUCGCGUUACGACCUGUUCAGAGGUGGCGGACUACCUGGAAAUGUCCCCGAAAGAGCUGCAGGGCCUGGACCCCAAGACCUUGCCCACGUGUGCUCGCCGCCUGCUCUGUGACGCCUACAUGUGUUUCUACCACAGCCCUUCCCUUGGCCUCUACAAAUAAGCCGCUUGCUAUAGAACUCAAGGAUUUCAGCCAGAGCAAUCGGGCAUGGGUCUGGAGUCCUGGAGCGAACUUCACUUGGGGGUGCGUCACAAGAUGUGGGUCUUCAAUCAGAGCAACGGGGAUAAGCGGCAGAAGCCUGAUCCGGCCAGAAGUCUGGAGAUAGACGCUACAGCCAAAGACGGAACCUGUGGUGGGAUUCAGCCAGUUUGCACCACUUCAGCAGAACUGGUUGUUAAAAUGGUGCUUGUAAACAACCAGUUGUUAAAUUCUUUGAACCCCACCACCGGAACCAGUUGUUGAAUUAUUUGAAUGCCACCACUGGAGCAGCUGUGUUCUCGCCCUAACUUGACUGAAAGAAUGCAAACCCUGGUUGACUGCAGCUGCCAACUGUAGUUUAAGAAAUUAGUGGAGAUUUGUGGGUGGGGGGUGGAGCCUGAGGAGGACAAACUUUGGAGCGGGGAUGAGAUGUGAGUCCACCCUGCCAUUUCCUGUAGGCGAAUUGAUUUCUGUUGGCUGGGUAUCAAUUGUAAUUCCAGGAAAACCGUGAUACUGGUUCGCCACCACUGCACAGGUACUAGCCCACACGGAGUCUUUCCAUGAGGUCAGUGCUGCCCGGAAUCCAGUUCUGCCUGCCCUUCUCUAUCCCACUUCUGUACCGUGUUUCCCCGAAUAUAAGACACUGUCUUAUAUUAAUUUUUGCUCCCAAAGAUGCGCUAUGUCUUAUUUUCAGGGGAUGUCUUAUUUUUCUGUGUUCUGUUCGUCGGGCAUGCUUCCAAACA
Sphaerodactylus townsendi is the source of this 3511-nucleotide RNA transcript. It is a transcript of the gene named ubiquitin carboxyl-terminal hydrolase CYLD-like, with no coding region annotated. The transcript is spliced from 15 exons. The record is from RefSeq and is a predicted model, not a curated record. Lineage: Eukaryota; Metazoa; Chordata; Lepidosauria; Squamata; Sphaerodactylidae.